UGGUCGCAUGGCCCGACCGAAGGAAAGUAUUUAUCGCUCUAGGAGGUCUCGCGGCCUAUCAGCUAGUUGGUGGGUAACGGCCUACCAAGGCAACGACGGGUAGCUGGUUUGAGAGAACGAUCAGCCACACUGGGACUGAGACACGGCCCAGACUCCUACGGGAGGCAGCAGUGGGAAUCUUGCGCAAUGGGCGAAAGCCUGACGCAGCAACGCCGCGUGCGGGAUGACGGCCUUCGUGGUUGUAAACCGCUUUCAGCAGGGACGAAAAUGACGGUACCUGCAGAAGAAGCCCCGGCUAACUACGUG
Molecule: ribosomal RNA, 306 nt
Filed under: uncultured bacterium
Lineage: Bacteria
Description: bacterial SSU rRNA
Rfam family: Bacterial small subunit ribosomal RNA
Source: RNAcentral